CCUACGGGAGGCAGCAGUGGGGAAUAUUGGGCAAUGGGCGCAAGCCUGACCCAGCAACGCCGCGUGAAGGAAGAAGGCUUUCGGGUUGUAAACUUCUUUUAUCAGGGACGAAGCAAGUGACGCUACCUGAUGAAUAAGCCACGGCUAACUACGAGCCAGGAGCCGCUGUAAUACGGAGGUGGCAAGCGUUAUCCGGAUUUGAUGGUUGUAAAGGGCGUUUAGGCGGGAAUGCAAGUCAGGUGUGAAAACUAUGGGCUCAACCCAUAGCCUGCAUUUGAAACUGUACUUCUUGAGUGCUGGAGAGGCAAUCGGAAUUCCGGGUGUAGCGGUGAAAUGCGUAGAUAUCAGGAGGAACACCAGUGGCGAAGGCGGCAUGCUGGACAGUAACUGACGCUGAGGCGCGAAAGCGUGGGUAGCAAACAGGAUUAGAUACCCUUGUAGUC
This 443-nucleotide ribosomal RNA is filed under the name uncultured bacterium. Its description in RNAcentral is "partial 16S ribosomal RNA". It matches the Rfam family "Bacterial small subunit ribosomal RNA", at positions 338 to 795 of the family's 1533-position model. The record is from RNAcentral.